AAGGAGUCUAACAUGUAUGCGAGUAGGCGGGUGUAAAACCUUGCUGCGUAAUGAAAGUAAAGGAUGGGAUCCGCCAGGUGCACCAUCGUCCGCUCAUCUUCCUCUGGUGAAAGAUUUGAGUUAGAGCAUAAAUGUUAGGACCCGAAAGAUGGUGAACUAUGCCUGAGUAGGGCGAAGCCAGGGGAAACUCUGGUGGAGGCUCGAAGCGAUUCUGACGUGCAAAUUGAUCGUCAAAUUUGGGUAUAGGGGCGAAAGACUAAUCGAACCAUCUAGUAGCUGGUUCCCUC
RNAcentral lists this unclassified non-coding RNA (287 nucleotides) under uncultured fungus. Its description in RNAcentral is "partial contains 5.8S rRNA, ITS2 and 28S rRNA". It matches the Rfam family "Eukaryotic large subunit ribosomal RNA", at positions 668 to 961 of the family's 3401-position model. The record is from RNAcentral. Lineage: Eukaryota; Fungi.